GUAUUUAUUGCGAUUAAGCAAAGUAGACAUUCUAAGACAUACAAGAGUUUAUAAAAAUCAAAUCAACAGAGAACGCUAGUCGAAACCUUUCGGUCCUUUCGCUAAUCCCCCAUUAAUUUGCAAAGGUGCACAGGUGUAUAGAUGAGUGAAAGAGCGUGCACGAUCCCCCGAGAGGGCAGCGACAACUCAGUAAACUCGUUAAUGAUCCUUCCGCAGGUUCACCUACGGAAA
This 231-nucleotide unclassified non-coding RNA is filed under the name uncultured fungus. RNAcentral describes it as "sequence contains ITS1". Lineage: Eukaryota; Fungi. The record is from RNAcentral.